Molecule: ribosomal RNA, 368 nt
Filed under: uncultured bacterium
Lineage: Bacteria
Description: bacterial SSU rRNA
Rfam family: Bacterial small subunit ribosomal RNA
Source: RNAcentral
AAUCAAUGCUGGCGGCGUGCCUCAGACAUGCAAGUCGAACGCGAAAGUCCCCUUCGGGGGACAAGUAGAGUGGCGCACGGGUGAGUAACACGUAGGUAAUCUACCUUCGGAUGGGGAAUAACAACCGGAAACGGUUGCUAAUACCGCAUAAUGCAGCGGCACCUAAUGGUGACAGUUGUUAAAGCGGGGGAUCGAAGACCCCGCGUCUGAAGAGGAGCCUGCGGCGGAUUAGCUAGNGGUAAGGUAAUGGCUUACCAAGGCGACGAUCCGUAGCCGGCCUGAGAGGGGCGGUCGGCCACACUGACACUGACAUACGGGUCAGACUCCUACGGGAGGCAGCAGUCGGGAAUUUUGGGCAAUGGGCGAAA